GUCCCAGUAGCGGAAUGGAUAAUGCUUUGGACUUUUAAUCUAAUGGUUGUGGAUUCGAAACCUACCUGGGAUG
This is a non-coding RNA of Trichonephila clavipes, 73 nucleotides long. NCBI's taxonomy places the organism in Eukaryota, Metazoa, Arthropoda, Arachnida, Araneae, Nephilidae. The record is from the annotation of a GenBank genome assembly.